UGGUCGUGUCUCGCAGUUUCCUUAGAAGAUCCAAGUGUUCCCGUUCUUGUUGUUUUUUCAGGAAUGAUGCUUGGCUUAUCAGGAGGCCUCUCAUGACAGUUUGGUGGGCCUGCCAAAUGGCUGCGGCGGAGGUUUCCGGGAGAUCAUUGAGUUCGAAGUAUGUUUGCAGGCUGUUCAUGAGUUUUGUCGUGAAUACGGUGUUGUGAAGCAGGUUGUCAUUUAGACGCCACGGUGGUUUUCCUCUGUGUUGGUAUUGAGUUAGUAUGGUCAUUGUAAGCGGUGCAUG
Non-coding RNA from Pelobates cultripes (western spadefoot toad), 286 nucleotides. The record is from the annotation of a GenBank genome assembly. Lineage: Eukaryota; Metazoa; Chordata; Amphibia; Anura; Pelobatidae.